This 31-nucleotide non-coding RNA is filed under the name Mus musculus (house mouse). The record is from RNAcentral. Lineage: Eukaryota; Metazoa; Chordata; Mammalia; Rodentia; Muridae.
UGUUGUUUGUGGCAGUGCCUCACUGGUGGUC